Molecule: small nuclear RNA, 164 nt
Filed under: Echinops telfairi (small Madagascar hedgehog)
Lineage: Eukaryota; Metazoa; Chordata; Mammalia; Afrosoricida; Tenrecidae
Description: U1 spliceosomal RNA (ENSETEG00000020539.1)
Rfam family: U1 spliceosomal RNA
About the family: U1 is a small nuclear RNA (snRNA) component of the spliceosome (involved in pre-mRNA splicing). Its 5' end forms complementary base pairs with the 5' splice junction, thus defining the 5' donor site of an intron.
Source: RNAcentral
AUACUUACCUGGUAGGGGAAACACCAUGAUCUGGAAGGUGGUUUUCCCAGAGCGAGGUUCACCCAUUGCGCUGCGGGUGUGCUGACCUCUGCGAUUUCUCCAAAUGCGGGAAACUCGGCUGCAUAAUUUGUGGUAGUGGGGGACUGCGUUCGCGCUCACCCCUG